Molecule: long non-coding RNA, 482 nt
Filed under: Gossypium barbadense (sea-island cotton)
Lineage: Eukaryota; Viridiplantae; Streptophyta; Magnoliopsida; Malvales; Malvaceae
Description: long non-coding RNA (GBAR_LNC022408)
Source: RNAcentral
UAAUUACCAUGCUGCCUUUCCUAUUCCCAUUUCAUCCUUUUGAUAGUGUGAAACGCCUCUUGUGCCAUGAUGAUGUUGUCUUGGAUGAGUCUUCUAGGGACAAAGGCAUAUUGGGUUAGAGAUAUUGUCUCAGGUAAGAUUGGUUUUAGUCUUGAAACAAUAAUUCUUACAAUGAAUUCAUAGAUGAAAUUACAACACCAUAUUAGUAUGUGUAAAAUCGAGAAAGAGGAAAAGAGGGAAAAGAGAAAGAAAACAAUGGUUAUUAGUAAGGUUUCUAUAGUUUUGUGGCAGUCGUGAGAAAUUAGAAGAAAAGAGAGAAAAGUAAAAGAAAAUAAAGAGGAGAAGAGAGAAUAAUAGUUUGAAUAUAUUUCAAUCUAUAUACACACCUUAAUACAUAACCUAAUUAUACUAGUAGACAUACAUACAAAGAAUGAAAGUCAAAGAUUAUACGCUCUAAUUAUGUGCUAGUCAGUCCCUAAAAU